GACGAACGCUGGCGGCGUGCUUAACACAUGCAAGUCGAACGGAAAGGCCCUGCUUUUGUGGGGUGCUCGAGUGGCGAACGGGUGAGUAACACGUGAGUAACCUGCCCUUGACUUUGGGAUAACUUCAGGAAACUGGGGCUAAUACCGGAUAGGAGCUCCUGCUGCAUGGUGGGGGUUGGAAAGUUUCGGCGGUUGGGGAUGGACUCGCGGCUUAUCAGCUUGUUGGUGGGGUAGUGGCUUACCAAGGCUUUGACGGGUAGCCGGCCUGAGAGGGUGACCGGCCACAUUGGGACUGAGAGACGGCCCAGACUCCUACGGGAGGCAGCAGUGGGGAAUAUGGCACAAUGGGCGGAAGCCGGAUGCAGCAACGCCGCGUGCGGGAUGACGGCCUUCGGGUUGUAAACCGCUUUCGCCUGUGACGAAGCGUGAGUGACGGUAAUGGGUAAAGAAGCACCGGCUAACUACGU
RNAcentral lists this ribosomal RNA (467 nucleotides) under uncultured bacterium. RNAcentral describes it as "partial 16S ribosomal RNA". It matches the Rfam family "Bacterial small subunit ribosomal RNA", at positions 28 to 506 of the family's 1533-position model. The record is from RNAcentral.